Molecule: ribosomal RNA, 485 nt
Filed under: uncultured bacterium
Lineage: Bacteria
Description: bacterial SSU rRNA
Rfam family: Bacterial small subunit ribosomal RNA
Source: RNAcentral
GAGUUUGAUCAUGGCUCAGAAUCAACGCUGGCGGCGUGCCUAACACAUGCAAGUCGAACGAGAAAGUGGAGCAAUCCAUGAGUAAAGUGGGCGACCGGGUGAGUAACACGUGACUAACCUACCCUCGAGUGGGGAAUAACGCCGGGAAACCGGCGCUAAUACCGCAUAACAUCGCAAGAUCAAAGCAGCAAUGCGCUUGAGGAGGGGGUCGCGGCCGAUUAGUUAGUUGGUAGGGUAAUGGCCUACCAAGACGAAGAUCGGUAGCCGGCCUGAGAGGGCGCACGGCCACACUGGAACUGAAACACGGUCCAGACUCCUACGGGAGGCAGCAGUGGGGAAUUUUGCGCAAUGGGGGGAAACCCUGACGCAGCAACGCCGCGUGGAGGAUGAAGUCCCUUGGGACGUAAACUCCUUUCGACCGGGACGAUAAUGACGGUACCGGUGGAAGAAGCCCCGGCUAACUUCGUGCCAGCAGCCGCAGUAAC